This 242-nucleotide small RNA is filed under the name Arabidopsis thaliana (thale cress). Its description in RNAcentral is "ATSL145930". The record is from RNAcentral. Lineage: Eukaryota; Viridiplantae; Streptophyta; Magnoliopsida; Brassicales; Brassicaceae.
UGGGUAAAAAUCAAAUUUGGUUUGUUUACCACACAGUUCUAAAGCGGACAAUGGGAAAAAUGUCAAAAAAAUCAUGAACUUUCAAAUUUGGGACGAAAAAAACAUGAACUUCCAAAAUGCCAUUAAAAUCGUAAACUUUUGUUUGACUUUUGAUAAAUAGUCAAGUUUUGUUGACUUUGCCAUUUUGAACAUGUCGUUAAGUUUUCGUUAACAAAAAGAUAACGUGAUUAAUUUUCUGUUAA